AUUGAACGCUGGCGGCAUGCCUUACACAUGCAAGUCGAACGGCAGCACGGGUGCUUGCACCUGGUGGCGAGUGGCGAACGGGUGAGUAAUACAUCGGAACAUGUCCUGUAGUGGGGGAUAGCCCGGCGAAAGCCGGAUUAAUACCGCAUACGAUCCACGUGUGAGAGCGGGGGACCUUCGGGCCUCGCGCUAUAGGGAUGGCCGAUGGCUGAUUAGCUAGUUGGUGGGGUAAAGGCCUACCAAGGCGACGAACAGUAGCUGGUCUGAGAGGACGACCAGCCACACUGGGACUGAGACACGGCCCAGACUCCUACGGGAGGCAGCAGUGGGGAAUUUUGGACAAUGGGCGAAAGCCUGAUCCAGCAAUGCCGCGUGUGUGAAGAAGGCCUUCGGGUUGUAAAGCACUUUUGUCCGGAAAGAAAUCCUUGGCCCUAAUACGGUCGGGGGAUGACGGUACCGGAAGAAUAAGCACCGGCUAACUACGUG
This 486-nucleotide ribosomal RNA is filed under the name uncultured bacterium. RNAcentral's name for it is "partial 16S ribosomal RNA". It matches the Rfam family "Bacterial small subunit ribosomal RNA", at positions 30 to 507 of the family's 1533-position model. The record is from RNAcentral.